GACGAACGCUGGCGGCGUGCUUAACACAUGCAAGUCGAACGGAAAGGCCCUGCUUUUGUGGGGUGCUCGAGUGGCGAACGGGUGAGUAACACGUGAGUAACCUGCCCUUGACUUUGGGAUAACUUCAGGAAACUGGGGCUAAUACCGGAUAGGAUCUCCUGCUGCAUUGUGGGGGUUGGAACGUUUCGGCGGUUGGGGAUGGACUCGCGGCUUAUCAGCUUGUUGGUGGGGUAGUGGCUUACCAAGGCUUUGACGGGUAGCCGGCCUGAGAGGGUGACCGGCCACAUUGGGACUGAGAUACGGCCCAGACUCCUACGGGAGGCAGCAGUGGGGAAUAUUGCACAAUGGGCGGAAGCCUGAUGCAGCAACGCCGCGUGCGGGAUGACGGCCUGCUGGUUGUAAACCGCUUUCGCCUGUGACGAAGCGUGAGUGACGGUAAUGGGUAAAGAAGCACCGGCUAACUACGUG
RNAcentral lists this ribosomal RNA (468 nucleotides) under uncultured bacterium. RNAcentral describes it as "partial 16S ribosomal RNA". It matches the Rfam family "Bacterial small subunit ribosomal RNA", at positions 28 to 507 of the family's 1533-position model. The record is from RNAcentral.